CUUCAUUCUCCUCUACAAAAUACUUUUGGGGACUUUUGGCAACCCUAGUUGUUGCUCGUAUAAUUAAUAUAAAAUACCUGACUUAGAGCCGUACAACAUCUCUUUUCUAAAUACGUUUAAUCUUAUCCAAAGUGAGCUUCCCAAUUUUAUUUGUGGCUUAUAGCAAAUGCCCUGAGUGCAUUUUGCAUUCAGAUCUAUAACCACUUUGUCAUCACAAGCCUCUCUGGGGCUACCCCUUUUUGGCUUUUUCUAUUUGUGUUCCCCCCCCCCUUCAUAAAACAAAGUCAGUAUGAUUCUUUCUAGCAUCUGUAGAGGGGGAAAUCUGUGAUCUGUCCCCUUUACUCAGAUCUUUCAUUUGACAUUUGGAAACUGCUCUUAUUUUUAGCAAUCAAGGCAGUGGCACAGGCUGCCUAGCUUAAAUGGUUUAGUUGGGGAUUUUUUCUUAUUUUUUGUUGCUGCUAAUGUAGUGUAAGAUUCCAGACAGGUUGAAGCGAACUGAGUUUCACUUGCUGUCACUACUCAGGACUGCCAUCAGAAGGAGAUCACCGGCAGUGCUUACACUGCUUUCCAUAUCACUAACUGGGAGCGCAAUAAAUAGAGUUCAGCUCAUUGUAGGCUCCUGAAAUGAAUGUGUGCAGACACUUCGGUUAGCUGCUUCUCUCCAGUGCAGAAGGACAGUCAGCCACUGGAUAUCUCUGCCGUCUCUCCUCUCUUCGCUGCUAGGUCUGCUGGGGACGGGUCAAGUGGUGCUGCCCAGGUUCUCAACAGCCUGGCAGGUAGAAGAGGAUCUGUAAUAGAAUUGGGAAAGAAAAAGGAGACAAGCUUUCUUUCCCAGCCCAUGGAAAAAUAACUUCCUGGAUUGUCAUCUGGAACCUGGGAAGUGCCAACAUGAGCAACAAUGAGAGGCCAGUGAACCCUGCCUCAUCUCCACUGACUGAGUGCCUGAAGAGAAAGAGGGGGAGACCAAAGAAGCAGCCACAGGAGGCUGUGGGGCCACUGCCAAUGAAGAAACCACGAGGAAGGCCAAAAGGAAGCAAGAAAGUGAAUGCUGUAUCUCAAAUGGUAGAACCUUCUGCCGAGAAAAGGCCAAGAGGGAGGCCCCGCAAGUGGAGGAGAUGUCUUCAGCCCUGCUUUGUAGCUGUUCAGUGUGCCUGACGUGGCUGGAGACCAAGACCUCCCUGGGGACAGGUCCCUGCAGUGCAGGGCAGCCAGGUAGAAUUAAGGACAUGCUAUCCAACAUCCUCUUGUGGGGCACAAAGAUCCAUGUGUGCUGUCAAAAUCUAACAUCUUUAAU
RNAcentral lists this long non-coding RNA (1294 nucleotides) under Apteryx rowi (Okarito brown kiwi). RNAcentral's name for it is "lncRNA (ENSARWG00000012152.1)". Lineage: Eukaryota; Metazoa; Chordata; Aves; Apterygiformes; Apterygidae. The record is from RNAcentral.